Molecule: microRNA precursor, 86 nt
Filed under: Solanum lycopersicum (tomato)
Lineage: Eukaryota; Viridiplantae; Streptophyta; Magnoliopsida; Solanales; Solanaceae
Description: MIR8024 microRNA precursor family
Rfam family: MIR8024 microRNA precursor family
Source: Rfam by way of RNAcentral
UUGGAAGAUUUGAAUACUUUAACUUGUAUACUUGGAGAGUUUGAAGACUUCAACUUGCAGGCUUGAAGAAUUUGAAGGCUUCAAUU